ACGUUAGCGGCGGACGGGUGAGUAACACGUGGGUAACCUACCUAUAAGACUGGGAUAACUUCGGGAAACCGGAGCUAAUACCGGAUAAUAUUUCGAACCGCAUGGUUCGAUAGUGAAAGAUGGUUUUGCUAUCACUUAUAGAUGGACCUGCGCCGUAUUAGCUAGUUGGUAAGGUAACGGCUUACCAAGGCGACGAUACGUAGCCGACCUGAGAGGGUGAUCGGCCACACUGUAACUGAGACACGGUCCAGACUCCUACGGGAGGCAGCAGGC
RNAcentral lists this ribosomal RNA (273 nucleotides) under uncultured Staphylococcus sp. RNAcentral's name for it is "partial 16S ribosomal RNA". It matches the Rfam family "Bacterial small subunit ribosomal RNA", at positions 89 to 354 of the family's 1533-position model. The record is from RNAcentral. Lineage: Bacteria; Bacillati; Bacillota; Bacilli; Caryophanales; Staphylococcaceae.